This 75-nucleotide transfer RNA is filed under the name Cetonurus globiceps (globehead grenadier). Its description in RNAcentral is "tRNA-Thr". It matches the Rfam family "tRNA". From Rfam's summary of the family: Transfer RNA (tRNA) molecules are approximately 80 nucleotides in length. Their secondary structure includes four short double-helical elements and three loops (D, anti-codon, and T loops). Lineage: Eukaryota; Metazoa; Chordata; Actinopteri; Gadiformes; Macrouridae. The record is from RNAcentral.
GUGCUCGUAGCUUAAGAAAUACCAAAGCGUCAGCCUUGUAAGCUGGAGAUUGAGGGUUAUUCCCCUCCCCGCACU